CUCCCGGUGGCCAAGCUGGCUAAGGCGCGAGACUGUAAUGGGUUCUCCUCAAAGUAAUCUUGAGAUCGGGUGUUCGACUCACCCCCGGGAGA
Molecule: non-coding RNA, 92 nt
Organism: Hyphopichia burtonii NRRL Y-1933
Lineage: Eukaryota; Fungi; Ascomycota; Pichiomycetes; Serinales; Debaryomycetaceae
Source: Rfam